RNAcentral lists this ribosomal RNA (301 nucleotides) under uncultured bacterium. Its description in RNAcentral is "partial 16S ribosomal RNA". It matches the Rfam family "Bacterial small subunit ribosomal RNA", at positions 509 to 807 of the family's 1533-position model. The record is from RNAcentral.
CAGUAGCCGCAGGAAUACGGAGGAUCCGAGCGUUAUCCGGAAUUAUUGGGUUUAAAGGGUGCGUAGGCGGAUAGAUAAGUCAGUGGUGAAAGACGGUGGCUCAACCAUCGCAGUGCCGUUGAUACUGUUUAUCUUGAAUAUGGAUGAGGUAGGCGGAAUGUGGCAAGUAGCGGUGAAAUGCAUAGAUAUGCCACAGAACACCGAUUGCGAAGGCAGCUUACCAAGGCAAAAUUGACGCUGAGGCACGAAAGCGUGGGGAUCGAACAGGAUUAGAUACCCGUGUAGUCCCUGUCUCUUAUAC